CAGGAACCCGGUGGGAAUCCGGGGCUGUCGCGCAACUGUGACCGGGGAGGGCUCCCCCGCAUGCGGCCACGGCGGUGACGCUGGAAGGCCGGGGGAGACCCGGGGAUCCGGGAGCCAGGAGACUG
Molecule: non-coding RNA, 125 nt
Filed under: Thermomonospora curvata
Lineage: Bacteria; Bacillati; Actinomycetota; Actinomycetes; Streptosporangiales; Thermomonosporaceae
Source: RNAcentral